RNAcentral lists this ribosomal RNA (274 nucleotides) under uncultured bacterium. RNAcentral's name for it is "partial 16S ribosomal RNA". It matches the Rfam family "Bacterial small subunit ribosomal RNA", at positions 523 to 796 of the family's 1533-position model. The record is from RNAcentral.
AUACAGAGGGUGCGAGCGUUAAUCGGAAUUACUGGGCGUAAAGCGCGCGUAGGCGGCUUAUUAAGUCAGAUGUGAAAUCCCCGGGCUCAACCUGGGAACUGCAUCUGAUACUGGUAAGCUCGAGUUUGGGAGAGGGAAGUAGAAUUUCAGGUGUAGCGGUGAAAUGCAUAGAGAUCUGAAGGAAUACCAGUGGCGAAGGCGACUUCCUGGCCUAAAACUGACGCUGAGGUGCGAAAGCGUGGGUAGCAAACGGGAUUAGAAACCCCAGUAGUCC